GAUGAACGCUGGCGGCGUGCUUAACACAUGCAAGUCGAACGGAAAGGCUCCUGCUUGCAGGGGUACUCGAGUGGCGAACGGGUGAGUAACACGUGGGUGAUCUGCCCUGCACUUCGGGAUAAGCCUGGGAAACUGGGUCUAAUUCCGGAUAGGACGAUGGUUUGGAUGCCAUUGUGGAAAGUUUUUCGGUGUGGGAUGAGCUCGCGGCCUAUCAGCUUGUUGGUGGGGUAAUGGCCUACCAAGGCGUCGACGGGUAGCCGGCCUGAGAGGGUGUACGGCCACAUUGGGCCUGAGAUACGGCCCAGACUCCUACGGGAGGCAGCAGUGGGGAAUAUUGCACAAUGGGCGCAAGCCUGAUGCAGCGACGCCGCGUGGGGGAUGACGGCCUUCGGGUUGUAAACUCCUUUCGCUAGGGACGAAGCGCAAGUGACGGUACCUGGAGAAGAAGCACCGGCUAACUACGUG
Molecule: ribosomal RNA, 465 nt
Filed under: uncultured bacterium
Lineage: Bacteria
Description: partial 16S ribosomal RNA
Rfam family: Bacterial small subunit ribosomal RNA
Source: RNAcentral